Non-coding RNA from Acanthosepion pharaonis, 79 nucleotides. Lineage: Eukaryota; Metazoa; Mollusca; Cephalopoda; Sepiida; Sepiidae. The record is from the annotation of a GenBank genome assembly.
AUGAUCACCGAAGUUAAGCAACGUCGAGCCUGCUCAGUACAUAGAUGAGUGACCGCUUGGGAAUACCAGGUGCUGUAAU